RNAcentral lists this ribosomal RNA (497 nucleotides) under uncultured bacterium. RNAcentral describes it as "partial 16S ribosomal RNA". It matches the Rfam family "Bacterial small subunit ribosomal RNA", at positions 28 to 507 of the family's 1533-position model. The record is from RNAcentral.
GAUGAACGCUGGCGGCGUGCCUAAUACAUGCAAGUCGAGCGAACGGACGAGAAGCUUGCUUCUCUGAUGUUAGCGGCGGACGGGUGAGUAACACGUGGAUAACCUACCUAUAAGACUGGGAUAACUUCGGGAAACCGGAGCUAAUACCGGGUAAUAUUUUGAACCGCAUGGUUCAAAAGUGAAGGACGGUCUUGCUGUCACUUAUAGAUGGAUCCGCGCUGCAUUAGCUAGUUGGUAAGGUAACGGCUUACCAAGGCAACGAUGCAUAGCCGACCUGAGAGGGUGAUCGGCCACACUGGAACUGAGACACGGUCCAGACUCCUACGGGAGGCAGCAGUAGGGAAUCUUCCGCAAUGGGCGAAAGCCUGACGGAGCAACGCCGCGUGAGUGAUGAAGGUCUUCGGAUCGUAAAACUCUGUUAUUAGGGAAGAACAUAUGUGUAAGUAACUGUGCACAUCUUGACGGUACCUAAUCAGAAAGCCACGGCUAACUACGUG